CCCUUAGAUAUCCUAGGCUGCACGCGAGCUACAAUGGUAUAUAUAAAAGGUUGCUGCUCUGAGAAGACUGGCAAUACCCUGAUAUAUAUCGUAUUUGGAAUAGAUUUUUGUAAUUAUCAAUCUUGAACGAGGAAUUCCUAGUAAAAAUAUUUCAUCAUAAUGUUUUGAUUGUGUCCCUGCCCUUUGUACACACCGCCCGUCGCUCCUACCGAUUGAAUAUUCCGGUGAGAAGAUAGGAGAAAAAUCUUUUGAUUUUUUGAAUAUUUUUGAACCUUGAUAUUUAGAGGAAGGAGAAGUUGUAACA
RNAcentral lists this ribosomal RNA (304 nucleotides) under uncultured eukaryote. RNAcentral's name for it is "partial 18S ribosomal RNA". It matches the Rfam family "Eukaryotic small subunit ribosomal RNA", at positions 1470 to 1796 of the family's 1831-position model. The record is from RNAcentral.